This is a small nucleolar RNA of Bison bison bison, 127 nucleotides long. The record is from Ensembl. Lineage: Eukaryota; Metazoa; Chordata; Mammalia; Artiodactyla; Bovidae.
AGGUCAUUUCAAACAGGGCUAAUGGGACCAAAUCUAGGAACCCUUAAUGCUUUGACCAAAGACUGAAUUCUUCAUUGGAUAUUACAGUCACUCGAGGGUGCUAUGCUUUCCUCUUGGAGAUACAAGC